Molecule: ribosomal RNA, 253 nt
Filed under: uncultured bacterium
Lineage: Bacteria
Description: partial 16S ribosomal RNA
Rfam family: Bacterial small subunit ribosomal RNA
Source: RNAcentral
UACGAAGGGGGCUAGCGUUGCUCGGAAUUACUGGGCGUAAAGGGAGCGUAGGCGGACAUUUAAGUCAGAGGUGAAAUCCCGGAGCUUAACUUCGGAACUGCCUUUGAUACUGGGUGUCUUGAGUGUGAGAGAGGUAUGUGGAACUCCGAGUGUAGAGGUGAAAUUCGUAGAUAUUCGGAAGAACACCAGUGGCGAAGGCGACAUACUGGCUCAUUACUGACGCUGAGACUCGAAAGCGUGGGGAGCAAACAGG